UACAGAGGUCUCAAGCGUUGUUCGGAUUCAUUGGGCGUAAAGGGUGCGUAGGUGGCGGGGUAAGUCUGGUGUGAAAUCUCGGGGCUCAACCCCGAAACUGCACUGGAUACUGCCUUGCUAGAGUACUGGAGAGGAGAUUGGAAUUUACGGUGUAGCGGUGAAAUGCGUAGAUAUCUGGAGGAACACCGGUGGCGAAGGCGACAUCCUGGACCGGUAUUGACGCUGAGGCGCGAAAGCCAGGGGAGCAAACGGG
This 253-nucleotide ribosomal RNA is filed under the name uncultured bacterium. RNAcentral's name for it is "partial 16S ribosomal RNA". It matches the Rfam family "Bacterial small subunit ribosomal RNA", at positions 524 to 776 of the family's 1533-position model. The record is from RNAcentral.